UACGUAGGGUGCAAGCGUUGUCCGGAAUUAUUGGGCGUAAAGAGCUCGUAGGCGGCUUGUCACGUCUGCUGUGAAAACUCGGGGCUCAACCCCGAGCCUGCAGUGGAUACGGGCUAGCUAGAGUGCGGUAGGGGAGACUGGAAUUCCUGGUGUAGCGGUGAAAUGCGCAGAUAUCGGGAGGAACACCGGUGGCGAAGGCGGUUCUCUGGGCCUUACCUGACGCUGAGGAGCGAAAGCGUGGGGAGCGAACAGG
This 253-nucleotide ribosomal RNA is filed under the name uncultured bacterium. Its description in RNAcentral is "partial 16S ribosomal RNA". It matches the Rfam family "Bacterial small subunit ribosomal RNA", at positions 524 to 776 of the family's 1533-position model. The record is from RNAcentral.